GCCAGUGUAGUGUAAUGGUUUUAGUGUUGGACUAAGACUUCAGAGGUCAGAGUUUGAAUCUCUGCUUGGCCA
Molecule: non-coding RNA, 72 nt
Organism: Phrynosoma platyrhinos (Desert horned lizard)
Lineage: Eukaryota; Metazoa; Chordata; Lepidosauria; Squamata; Phrynosomatidae
Source: the annotation of a GenBank genome assembly